GCGGGACUUCCGGCGCGUCGGGACUCCGUCCGGGUCGGGUGUUGUGCACGACAAGCGCCCUGGGCUUUCCAGAGGACGGCGGGCCAGUGAGGGUGAGGAGGCGCGCGCAACCAAGAGGCGGAGGGUUGGGGAAUGGCGACCGCGCCCCUGCCGGAGGCCACUUCUGGAAUGAAGGAUGGCAGCACGCCGUGCAUUAAAAGCUGUUUUGGUAGAUCUCAAUGGCACACUUCACAUUGAAGAUGCAGCUGUGCCAGGCGCACAGGAAGCUCUUAAAAGGCAAGCUAUCCUCCAGGUUCAGAUGACAAAUACGUUUUUAAGUGCCGCUUUACCAAGGCAGAUCAUUAGCUAAAUGGAUGGCCUUGAGAUGGCGUUUCACCAGCUCACCAUACGUGGCGAACUGCCUUGGGUUUAUCCAGAAGAUGUAUGCGUUGUAAUAUCCUCCGAACACUGUUCUCCCUGCCUUUAUUAGGUUUGGCCUUUAGUCUUUUUGUUCUACCUCCUCCUCCUCCUGCUCUGAUUUUUU
This is a long non-coding RNA of Acomys russatus (golden spiny mouse), 523 nucleotides long. RefSeq lists it as uncharacterized. The transcript is spliced from 2 exons. NCBI's taxonomy places the organism in Eukaryota, Metazoa, Chordata, Mammalia, Rodentia, Muridae. The record is from RefSeq and is a predicted model, not a curated record.